Molecule: long non-coding RNA, 292 nt
Organism: Ctenocephalides felis (cat flea)
Lineage: Eukaryota; Metazoa; Arthropoda; Insecta; Siphonaptera; Pulicidae
Exons: 3
Source: RefSeq, a predicted model, not a curated record
CAUUCAGGGUACUAUAAUUUAUCGUGUAUUAUAUGCAUAAAACGCUGAAGUUCGACAAAUGGAGUAUGGCAGUCAAAGUCUUAGCUAUUAUAUCAUGUGGGAAAAUCAGUAAUUGCUGAUGUAUAUCUACUUUGUUAUCAUCUACAGAUAUAUUAUUCGUAGCAAUAUCAGGAUUUAGAGGUGCUACCUACAACGAUGAUGAAGAUAUAGCAGCUAAUGAGAUUCAAUAAAAACAUAUAAGAUAAAUACCUCAGCCAAUUCAACGUCAGGGCCUAUAAUAGGAAGCCCACAC